Molecule: unclassified non-coding RNA, 549 nt
Filed under: Hevea brasiliensis (rubber tree)
Lineage: Eukaryota; Viridiplantae; Streptophyta; Magnoliopsida; Malpighiales; Euphorbiaceae
Source: RNAcentral
GCGACAAGCAGAGUCCUUGAAGGAGAUACAAGAGGCCUUAGGACCAAGAAUCCUGUUAAUGUCAUUCCUGUUAUAGAGUUCAUAGUCAAAACCAUCAGGGACAGUGAUGGUCUUUGAGGGAUCACCAUCUUGAACAAUGAUAAGGUGAUAAGGCUGAAAGAAAGGCCUCCACAUUUCCAAGAAAUCGAGGUUCCUUAUUGUGGGAAUCACAAUAUCAAGCUCAUCCUUCAACAAAGGCACUACCUUUGUCGCUGCCUGAGUAUCUCUUGCAGGUUCUACCAUUUUGAAACAGAGAGAAGAAGAAGCCUGUAGGAAGGGAUGUGAUCGUAGAAGAAGAGGAGAAAUUAGAGGGGUAUAUAUAUAUAUACAAGGAGGGAUGAUGGGUGGCACGUGCGAAGCGGAAAAAGCGGCAGGGGUAGAGGAAGAGUAGGAGACGUGUCUGAGUUUUGCUGGGAAUGAGGACUUAUUCAAAGAACAGAGGGGAGGGUGCAAGGAGCUUCAAGCUUGGAGUUGAAGGGAGAGGAGACUUUUUUAUUUUAUUUUAUUUUA